GCGUGAUUCUUCUCUCUUCAUUAUCGCAGGCUCGCUACUUCGUUCCAUUUUUACUCAGAUUCUGUUGUUAUCUUUCUGCGGCCAUUUUUUUCAUGGCGAGGGAGAAGCUAAAAUCCCUAGUUACAUCAUUCACUACCGGCGGUGAGUAUCUCGCUGUAUUGUCGCCUGAUGGAACUGUUAGAGUUUGGAACACAAGUAGUGGAAGCUUAUUUGGUCAGUGGAAACCAGAGAAUUCUGGAGACAGUUUCUCUUACAUGGCAUGCUGUAUUAUUGGAAAGAAGCACAGAAAAGAACAAUGUCUAUUAGUAGCUCUUGCCUCAGAUGAUGGAACUGUUUUAACAGUUGACAUUUCUGCUAAAUUGGUAAGGUGGAGAAAAGAUGGAGCCCUUCCUAGCGGAGCUGCUGGUCUGUUUUUUGUGGGCAAAGGUCGCAGGGUUAAUGCUGUUGCUGCGAAUGGUUUAGUACUUGAGAUGAACUCCGAAACUGGAGAAGUCAACAAAGAGUUCAAAGUGUCAAAGAAGUCCAUUUCUUCAGUAGCUCAUUCAACUGACCAGAAAAUUAUAGCUGUGGCCAGUGAUAAGUUGCGAUUUCUAAGUCCAGAAAGCGGGAAAGAGUUGCUGAAGUUUUCUCCUGAUUCAGCUACUGCACAACAUAUUUGGCUAUCA
Molecule: unclassified non-coding RNA, 665 nt
Filed under: Hevea brasiliensis (rubber tree)
Lineage: Eukaryota; Viridiplantae; Streptophyta; Magnoliopsida; Malpighiales; Euphorbiaceae
Source: RNAcentral